GACGAACGCUGGCGGCGUGCUUAACACAUGCAAGUCGAACGGAGCGAAUGAAAGCUUGCUUUUAUGAGCUUAGUGGCAAACGGGUGAGUAACACGUAGACAACCUGCCGAUUAGAUGGGGACAACAUUCCGAAAGGAAUGCUAAUACCGAAUGGUGUGCGGGGGAGGCAUCUCCCCCGCAUGAAAGAUGGCCAAUACAUGUAAGCUAUCACUGAUUGAUGGGUCUGCGUCUGAUUAGCUGGUAGGUAAGGUAACGGCUUACCUAGGCGACGAUCAGUAGCCGGUCUGAGAGGAUGAACGGCCACAUUGGGACUGAGACACGGCCCAGACUCCUACGGGAGGCAGCAGUGGGGAAUCUUCCGCAAUGGGCGCAAGCCUGACGGAGCAACGCCGCGUGAGUGAAGAAGGUCUUCGGAUCGUAAAGCUCUGUUGAAGGGGACGAACGUGUAUAGUGCAAAUAGUGCUAUAU
Molecule: ribosomal RNA, 468 nt
Filed under: Selenomonas sp. oral taxon 133
Lineage: Bacteria; Bacillati; Bacillota; Negativicutes; Selenomonadales; Selenomonadaceae
Description: bacterial SSU rRNA
Rfam family: Bacterial small subunit ribosomal RNA
Source: RNAcentral